Molecule: ribosomal RNA, 429 nt
Filed under: Pseudomonadota bacterium
Lineage: Bacteria; Pseudomonadati; Pseudomonadota
Description: Proteobacteria bacterium partial 16S ribosomal RNA
Rfam family: Bacterial small subunit ribosomal RNA
Source: RNAcentral
UGGGGAAUAUUGGACAAUGGGCGAAAGCCUGAUCCAGCCAUGCCGCGUGUGUGAAGAAGGUCUUAGGAUUGUAAAGCACUUUAAGUUGGGAGGAAGGGCAGUAAGCGAAUACCUUGCUGUUUUGACGUUACCGACAGAAUAAGCACCGGCUAACUCUGUGCCAGCAGCCGCGGUAAUACAGAGGGUGCAAGCGUUAAUCGGAAUUACUGGGCGUAAAGCGCGCGUAGGUGGUUCGUUAAGUUGAAUGUGAAAGCCCCGGGCUCAACCUGGGAACUGCAUCCAAAACUGGCGAGCUAGAGUAGGGCAGAGGGUGGUGGAAUUUCCUGUGUAGCGGUGAAAUGCGUAGAUAUAGGAAGGAACACCAGUGGCGAAGGCGACCACCUGGGCUCAUACUGACACUGAGGUGCGAAAGCGUGGGGAGCAAACAAG